Molecule: ribosomal RNA, 250 nt
Filed under: uncultured bacterium
Lineage: Bacteria
Description: partial 16S ribosomal RNA
Rfam family: Bacterial small subunit ribosomal RNA
Source: RNAcentral
GAUGAACGCUAGCUACAGGCUUAACACAUGCAAGUCGAGGGGAAACGGCAUUAAGUGCUUGCACUUUUUGGACGUCGACCGGCGCACGGGUGAGUAACGCGUAUCCAACCUGCCCCUUACCAGGGAAUAACCCGUUGAAAGACGGACUAAUGCCCUAUGCAGUCCUUUGACGGCAUCAGAUUAGGACUAAAGAUUCAUCGGUAUGGGAUGGGGAUGCGUCUGAUUAGCUUGUUGGCGGGGUAACGGCCCA